UUUAAUUUGGAAACAACUCUUCCAUUCAACUCUCAAACUCUCGUUCUCAUGUUUAAUUUGGAAACAACUCUUCCAUUCAACUCUCAAACUCUCGUUCUUUCCAUUACUCUUGAACUCAGAUAAAAAAAACUCAAACAUCAAUGCACUAAUUAAAAGGAAAUCAAUACAAAUAUUAAUUUUGAAAUGGAUGAAUUAAUAUCAAUGGAAUCCAACGAAAUUGAAGAAUCUGAAGGUCCUAAGGUUGAAACCAAAAGAGCUUGAUCUGUUCAUAACUCAAGGUUUCAAGCAAAAAUAACAAUUGAAACACGUUUAGAUCUAUUAGGAAAGUUUCUGAGAAAUUACAUGAUUGAACGCAAGCCGGAAUCAAUGAAUCUGUGUUCAUGUUCUUGAGUGUUCAUGAACACUCAUGAACACAUGAACCCUAGAUAUUUCUCGAAAUUUGAAUUUUGAGAUAUUUCAUAAAAUUGUUUGAGGGUUUGGAUAUUAAACAAGUGCAAAAACUCAAUUAUGCCAAGAAAACACUAAGAUGAUGAAGAUUAGAAGUUACCUGAAGCAAAAAGCUCAACAACAAUGAUGAACAACGAUGAAGUUUCCAGUGAAAUAUGUGGAAUCCGAUGAAGCUCCAGCAAGGCUGUUGAAGUUAUGAUGAAAGGUUUAGAUGGCUGCAACUCAAUGCCAACCUUGGAAGUUAUUCAUAAACAAGAAUAACUUCACAAGCUUGCAGAAUUGCUCGAGCUGUAACUUGUGAGAAGGAGGCUAUGGUGAAGAUUUUUUCUGCUCAAUAUUUGAAGUUUUAUGUCUGCUGAAUAGAGUGAAUUCAAUAGGUUUAGAUAGGCUAGAUUAGGGUUGCGAGGUG
Molecule: long non-coding RNA, 856 nt
Organism: Vicia villosa (hairy vetch)
Lineage: Eukaryota; Viridiplantae; Streptophyta; Magnoliopsida; Fabales; Fabaceae
Exons: 2
Source: RefSeq, a predicted model, not a curated record